Equus asinus (donkey) is the source of this 1548-nucleotide long non-coding RNA. NCBI's taxonomy places the organism in Eukaryota, Metazoa, Chordata, Mammalia, Perissodactyla, Equidae. The record is from Ensembl.
AGCAGGUGACUGAGGAGAUAAUUUUCACUGCUUGGACUCAAGUCAGUUUUGAAGGAACUAAAGAUGCCCAUUGAAUUCUGGCCCUGCCCAGAGCCCCAGAGUCCAGACAGCCCGGGAGAGGAGCAGGAGUUGGAGCCCGAGUUGGAGCCCAAGUUGGAGAGAGAGGAGAAGCCUGCUGCAGCCAGGUCAAGAAACAGAUCAUUGCCAGUACCCCAGAAGUCUGUUCCUGAUCACCUCUGCCUUCUGCCCCACCAGAGGAGGUGAGGACAACAGGAGGUCUUUGGUGUGCCCUCAGAAGUCCGCCUUCAAUUCUCACCCAGCCACUCUGAGAAUGGAGUGGAGACGGGAGCUGUUUCUCAACUUCACCGUUGUCCUGAUUACAGUUCUCCUUAUGUGGCUCCUUGUGAGGUCCUAUCAGUAGUGAGAGGCCAUGCCACGCUCCUGGGAUUGACUGCAACACUCCAGAGCUGCCUGCUGUAUGCCCUGAGACCUCACCGCUGUCAUGGGAUGCCUUUCCUGGCACCCCAAGACACUUCUGACCUGCACUCACAAUAUCUGAGGUGCCUCCAGUGCUAGGAUCGAUUGUGUGUUCUCUAAGGAUGCUGCUCUCAAGGGCUCCCAAGCGUUUGCCUGCGAGCAUUAGAUUUAUUCCCCCAACUCUUACUGCAAACAUGUUAGACAAGCCACAAGGUUAAAAUUAAACUGGAUUCCCGGUGAUGUAGAAUUGUAACAAGCCUCUGAUCUGUCUUACCACACGUCCCUUCAACCCACACUGUCUGCAACCAAACUCUAAAUCAACCUGCCAGAAGAAAGAAAUGUUAGACCAAGUCUUUGUCAGCUCCUAUAGCUACUGUGUGAAUAAAGUUAAGUCAACCACAAAAACGACUUUGAGAAUUUAUUUUAGCUUCUGUUUGUGAUACUGCAUUUGACCCUUGGCUGGGAUUGAAGUGACAAAUGCUACAGUAUUUCUAGCAUUAGAGAUAAGCCAAAAUACUCCAACUGCUAAGGAUUUGAAACCAAGUCAAUUACGAGUGUCACAUUUCAAAUGAUUCCAUUGGUUCAGUGCUCCUCAAACUUUCCCUCUGAACUAAUCUCAAGGGCAGAGGGAGAAUGAAUGCAUUCCGCUAGGAGGUCCAGGGCACAGCCUGAAGUUUCCACUAAAAGCACACAAUUUCUUUGAAGUUUUGUGUUUUAUCUUUAAAAUUCACAAGAAAUGUGUAUUUUACCCUAUGAUAUCUCCAUGUUUGUUUUAAUAUAAAUAUUUACAAUUGUUUACCAUUGAGUAAAGCUAGAGAAGAGUCAUGUCCCUAAGAGUAGCAUUUUUCAGUUUGGUUAUUAUCAUUAUGCAAAUCGAGCUAGUCAUUAAUAAACUAGUUAUAACAAAGAGGAAAAUAAAAAGUACAAAUUUACAUAUAUGUUUAUAAAAGAGACUAUGAAAUAGAUAUUUCUAAAACACGUAGCUAGAACACCCCAUACCAGAUAGAUCAAAUUUGUUCUUUGUGCCAAUUCUAAGGUAAUCGCAGAGAAGGGAAACGUCGUUAAACCUCA